Molecule: ribosomal RNA, 295 nt
Filed under: Lysinibacillus sphaericus
Lineage: Bacteria; Bacillati; Bacillota; Bacilli; Caryophanales; Bacillaceae
Description: partial 16S ribosomal RNA
Rfam family: Bacterial small subunit ribosomal RNA
Source: RNAcentral
UUUUAUGGAGAGUUUGAUCCUGGCUCAGGACGAACGCUGGCGGCGUGCCUAAUACAUGCAAGUCGAGCGAACAGAGAAGGAGCUUGCUCCUUUGACGUUAGCGGCGGACGGGUGAGUAACACGUGGGCAACCUACCUUAUAGUUUGGGAUAACUCCGGGAAACCGGGGCUAAUACCGAAUAAUCUGUUUCACCUCAUGGUGAAAUGUUGAAAGACGGUUUCGGCUGUCGCUAUAGGAUGGGCCCGCGGCGCAUUAGCUAGUUGGUGAGGUAACGGCUCACCAAGGCGACGAUGCG